AGCUCCACUGGCAGGUGCAGACGCCUCCUGCUGGGGGUCAUGUCCAACAUCACCAGGAUCUGGAAGGUCCAGUCCCCAUUCCAAAUGAGGGGCGUGGACACAACAC
Molecule: long non-coding RNA, 106 nt
Organism: Phyllostomus discolor (pale spear-nosed bat)
Lineage: Eukaryota; Metazoa; Chordata; Mammalia; Chiroptera; Phyllostomidae
Exons: 5
Source: RefSeq, a predicted model, not a curated record